AUUGAACGCUGGCGGCAGGCUUAACACAUGCAAGUCGAGCGGUAGCACAGGGGAGCUUGCUCCCUGGGUGACGAGCGGCGGACGGGUGGGUAAUGUCUGGGAAACUGCCUGAUGGAGGGGGAUAACUACUGGAAACGGUAGCUAAUACCGCAUAACGUCGCAAGACCAAAGAGGGGGACCUUCGGGCCCCUUGCCAUCAGAUGUGCCCAGAUGGGAUUAGACUAGUAGGUGGGGUAACGGCUCACCUAGGCGACGAUCCCUAGCUGGUCUGAGAGGAUGACCCGCCACACUGGAACUGAGACACGGUCCAGACUCCUACGGGAGGCAGCAGUGGGGAAUAUUGCACAAUGGGCGCAAGCCUGGUGCAGCCAUGCCGCGUGUAUGAAGAAGGCCUUCGGGUUGUAAAGUACUUUCGGCGGGGAGGAAGGCGAUAAUGUUAAUAACCUUGUCUAUUGACGUUACCCGCAGAAGAAGCACCGGCUAAGUCCGUGCCAGCCGCCGCCGUAA
This 507-nucleotide ribosomal RNA is filed under the name uncultured bacterium. Its description in RNAcentral is "partial 16S ribosomal RNA". It matches the Rfam family "Bacterial small subunit ribosomal RNA", at positions 30 to 523 of the family's 1533-position model. The record is from RNAcentral.